This 2899-nucleotide ribosomal RNA is filed under the name Klebsiella pneumoniae. RNAcentral describes it as "23S ribosomal RNA". It matches the Rfam family "Bacterial large subunit ribosomal RNA". The record is from RNAcentral. Lineage: Bacteria; Pseudomonadati; Pseudomonadota; Gammaproteobacteria; Enterobacterales; Enterobacteriaceae.
GGUUAAGCGACUAAGCGUACACGGUGGAUGCCCCGGCAGUCAGAGGCGAUGAAGGACGUGCUAAUCUGCGAAAAGCGUCGGUAAGGUGAUAUGAACCGUUACAGCCGGCGAUGUCCGAAUGGGGAAACCCAGUGCAAUUCGUUGCACUAUCGUUAACUGAAUACAUAGGUUAACGAGGCGAACCGGGGAACUGAAACAUCUAAGUACCCCGAGGAAAAGAAAUCAACCGAGAUUCCCCAGUAGCGGCGAGCGAACGGGGAGCAGCCCAGAGUCUGAAUCAGCUUGUGUGUUAGUGGAACGGUCUGGAAAGUCCGACGGUACAGGGUGAUAGUCCCGUACACCAAAAUGCACAGGUUGUGAACUCGAAGAGUAGGGCGGGACACGUGGUAUCCUGUCUGAAUAUGGGGGACCAUCCUCCAAGGCUAAAUACUCCUGACUGACCGAUAGUGAACCAGUACCGUGAGGGAAAGGCGAAAAGAACCCCGGCGAGGGGAGUGAAAAAAGAACCUGAAACCGUGUACGUACAAGCAGUGGGAGCACCUUCGGGUGUGACUGCGUACCUUUGUAUAAUGGGUCAGCGACUUAUAUUCUGUAGCAAGGUUAACCGUAUAGGGGAGCCGCAGGGAAACCGAGUCUUAACUGGGCGUUAAGUUGCAGGGUAUAGACCCGAAACCCGGUGAUCUAGCCAUGGGCAGGUUGAAGGUUGGGUAACACUAACUGGAGGACCGAACCGACUAAUGUUGAAAAAUUAGCGGAUGACUUGUGGCUGGGGUGAAAGGCCAAUCAAACCGGGAGAUAGCUGGUUCUCCCCGAAAGCUAUUUAGGUAGCGCCUCGUGAACUCAUCUUCGGGGUAGAGCACUGUUUCGGCUAGGGGUCAUCCCGACUUACCAACCCGAUGCAAACUACGAAUACCGAAGAAUGUUAUCACGGGAGACACACGGCGGGUGCUAACGUCCGUCGUGAAGAGGGAAACAACCCAGACCGCCAGCUAAGGUCCCAAAGUCAUGGUUAAGUGGGAAACGAUGUGGGAAGGCACAGACAGCCGGGAUGUUGGCUUAGAAGCAGCCAUCAUUUAAAGAAAGCGUAAUAGCUCACUGGUCGAGUCGGCCUGCGCGGAAGAUGUAACGGGGCUAAACCAUGCACCGAAGCUGCGGCAGCGACACUAUGUGUUGUUGGGUAGGGGAGCGUUCUGUAAGCCUGCGAAGGUGUGCUGUGAGGCAUGCUGGAGGUAUCAGAAGUGCGAAUGCUGACAUAAGUAACGAUAAAGCGGGUGAAAAGCCCGCUCGCCGGAAGACCAAGGGUUCCUGUCCAACGUUAAUCGGGGCAGGGUGAGUCGACCCCUAAGGCGAGGCCGAAAGGCGUAGUCGAUGGGAAACAGGUUAAUAUUCCUGUACUUGGUGUUACUGCGAAGGGGGACGGAGAAGGCUAUGUUAGCCGGGCGACGGUUGUCCCGGUUUAAGCAUGUAGGCUGAUUGUCCGAGGCAAAUCCGGAUAAUCAAGGCUGAGGUGUGAUGACGAGGCACUACGGUGCUGAAGUAACAAAUGCCCUGCUUCCGAGGAAAAGCCUCUAAGCAUCAGGUAACAUUAAAUCGUACCCCAAACCGACACAGGUGGUCAGGUAGAGAAUACCAAGGCGCUUGAGAGAACUCGGGUGAAGGAACUAGGCAAAAUGGUGCCGUAACUUCGGGAGAAGGCACGCUGGUGUGUAGGUGAAGUCCCUGCGGAUGGAGCUGAGACCAGUCGAAGAUACCAGCUGGCUGCAACUGUUUAUUAAAAACACAGCACUGUGCAAACACGAAAGUGGACGUAUACGGUGUGACGCCUGCCCGGUGCCGGAAGGUUAAUUGAUGGGGUUAUCCGUAAGGAGAAGCUCUUGAUCGAAGCCCCGGUAAACGGCGGCCGUAACUAUAACGGUCCUAAGGUAGCGAAAUUCCUUGUCGGGUAAGUUCCGACCUGCACGAAUGGCGUAAUGAUGGCCGGGGCUGUCUCCACCCGAGACUCAGUGAAAUUGAACUCGCUGUGAAGAUGCAGUGUACCCGCGGCAAGACGGAAAGACCCCGUGAACCUUUACUAUAGCUUGACACUGAACAUUGAGCCUUGAUGUGUAGGAUAGGUGGGAGGCUUUGAAGCGUGGACGCCAGUCUGCGUGGAGCCAACCUUGAAAUACCACCCUUUAAUGUUUGAUGUUCUAACGUUGGCCCCUGACCGGGGUUGCGGACAGUGUCUGGUGGGUAGUUUGACUGGGGCGGUCUCCUCCCAAAGCGUAACGGAGGAGCACGAAGGUUAGCUAAUCCCCGGUCGGACAUCAGGAGGUUAGUGCAAUGGCAUAAGCUAGCUUGACUGCGAGCGUGACGGCGCGAGCAGGUGCGAAAGCAGGUCAUAGUGAUCCGGUGGUUCUGAAUGGAAGGGCCAUCGCUCAACGGAUAAAAGGUACUCCGGGGAUAACAGGCUGAUACCGCCCAAGAGUUCAUAUCGACGGCGGUGUUUGGCACCUCGAUGUCGGCUCAUCACAUCCCUGGGGCUGAAGUAGGUCCCAAGGGUAUGGCUGUUCGCCAUUUAAAGUGGUACGCGAGCUGGGUUUAGAACGUCGUGAGACAGUUCGGUCCCUAUCUGCCGUGGGCGCUGGAGAAUUGAGGGGGCUGCUCCUAGUACGAGAGGACCGGAGUGGACGCAUCACUGGUGUUCGGGUUGUCAUGCCAAUGGCACUGCCCGGUAGCUAAAUGCGGAAGAGAUAAGUGCUGAAAGCAUCUAAGCACGAAACUUGCCCCGAGAUGAGUUCUCCCUGAGACUUUAAGUCUCCUGAAGGAACGUUAAAGACGAUGACGUUGAUAGGCCGGGUGUGUAAGCGCAGCGAUGCGUUGAGCUAACCGGUACUAAUGAACCGUGAGGCUUAACCUU